RNAcentral lists this ribosomal RNA (499 nucleotides) under uncultured bacterium. RNAcentral's name for it is "bacterial SSU rRNA". It matches the Rfam family "Bacterial small subunit ribosomal RNA", at positions 28 to 526 of the family's 1533-position model. The record is from RNAcentral.
GACGAACGCUGGCGGCGUGCCUAAUACAUGCAAGUCGAGCGGACUUGAUGAGGAGCUUGCUCCUCUGAAGGUUAGCGGCGGACGGGUGAGUAACACGUAGGCAACCUGCCUGUAAGACUGGGAUAACUACCGGAAACGGUAGCUAAUACCGGAUAAUUUAUUUCUUCGCCUGGAGAGAUAAUGAAAGACGGAGCAAUCUGUCACUUACAGAUGGGCCUGCGGCGCAUUAGCUAGUUGGUGAGGUAACGGCUCACCAAGGCGACGAUGCGUAGCCGACCUGAGAGGGUGAACGGCCACACUGGGACUGAGACACGGCCCAGACUCCUACGGGAGGCAGCAGUAGGGAAUCUUCCGCAAUGGGCGAAAGCCUGACGGAGCAACGCCGCGUGAGUGAUGAAGGUUUUCGGGUUGUAAACCUCUUUCAGCAGGGACGAAGCGCAAGUGACGGUACCUGCAGAAGAAGCACCGGCCAACUACGUGCCAGCCGCCGCAGUAAUAC